Molecule: ribosomal RNA, 497 nt
Filed under: uncultured bacterium
Lineage: Bacteria
Description: partial 16S ribosomal RNA
Rfam family: Bacterial small subunit ribosomal RNA
Source: RNAcentral
GAUGAACGCUGGCGGCGUGCCUAAUACAUGCAAGUCGAACGAACGGACGAGAAGCUUUCUUCUCUGAUGUUAGCGGCGGGCGGGUGAGUAACACGUGGAUAACCUACCUAUAAGACUGGGGUAACUUCGAGAAACCGGAGCUCAUACCGGAAAAUAUUUUCAACCGCAUGGUUGAAGAGUGAAAGUCGGUCUUGCUGUCGCUUUUAGAUGGAUCCGCGCUGCAUUAGCUAGUCUGUAAGGUAACGGCGUAGCAAGGCAACGAUUCAUAGCCGACCGGAGGGGCUGAUCGGCCACACUGGAACUGAGACACGGUCCAGACUCCUACGGGAGGCAGCAGUAGGGAAUCUUCCGCAAUGGGCGAAAGCCUGACGCAGCAACGCCGCGUGAGUGAUGAAGGUCUUCGGAUCGUAAAGCUCUGUUAUUAGGGAAGAACAUAUUUGUAAGUAAAUGUGCACAUCUUGACGGUACCUAAUCAGGAAGCCCCGGCUAACUACGUG